This 482-nucleotide ribosomal RNA is filed under the name uncultured bacterium. RNAcentral's name for it is "bacterial SSU rRNA". It matches the Rfam family "Bacterial small subunit ribosomal RNA", at positions 29 to 506 of the family's 1533-position model. The record is from RNAcentral.
AUGAACGCUAGCGGCAGGCCUAAUACAUGCAAGUCGAACGGUAACAUGAGUAGCAAUACUUGAUGACGAGUGGCGCACGGGUGCGUAACGCGUAUGCAAUCUACCUUCAACUGGUGAAUAGCCCGAAGAAAUUCGGAUUAAUACACCAUAGUAUAUAGAGAUGGCAUCAUUUUUAUAUUAAAACUCCGGUGGUUGAAGAUGAGCAUGCGUGACAUUAGCUAGUUGGUAAGGUAAUGGCUUACCAAGGCUACGAUGUCUAGGGGAUCUGAGAGGAUUAACCCCCACACUGGUACUGAGACACGGACCAGACUCCUACGGGAGGCAGCAGUAAGGAAUAUUGGACAAUGGUCGAAAGACUGAUCCAGCCAUGCCGCGUGCAGGAUGACAGCCCUAUGGGUCGUAAACUGCUUUUGUGCGAGAAAAAACCCCUCUACGUGUAGAGGGCUGAUUGUAUCGUAAGAAUAAGGAUCGGCUAACUCCGU